Molecule: transfer RNA, 66 nt
Filed under: Curculio davidi
Lineage: Eukaryota; Metazoa; Arthropoda; Insecta; Coleoptera; Curculionidae
Description: tRNA-His
Source: RNAcentral
ACUUAAAUAGUUUAAUUAAAAUUCUAGUUUGUGGAUCUAGAGAAGUAAACAAUAUUACUUUGAGUA